GGCAAAGUUAAUAAGGGCGCACGGUGGAUGCCUUGGCAUUAAGAGCCGAAGAAGGACGUGACUAACGACGAUAUUCUAGGGGGAGCAGUAAGUACGCAUUGAUCCCUAGGUCUCCGAAUGGGGAAACCCACUAUGUUAUGCAUAGUAUCCGUAAGUGAAUACAUAGCUUACGCGAAGGUAACGCAGAGAACUGAAACAUCUAAGUACCUGCAGGAAGAGAAAGUAAAAACGAUUUCCUAAGUAGCGGCGAGCGAACGGGAAACAGGCCAAACCAAGAAGCUUGCUUCUUGGGGUUGUAGGACUGCAACGUGGACUUAAAGUCUAUAGAAGAAUUACCUGGGAAGGUAAGCCAAAGAGAGUAAUAGCCUCGUAUUUGAAAUAGACUUUAUACCUAGCAGUAUCCUGAGUAGGGCUGGACACGCGAAAUCCAGUUUGAAUCCGGGAGGACCAUCUCCCAAGCCUAAAUACUCCUUAAUGACCGAUAGUGAACCAGUACCGUGAGGGAAAGGUGAAAAGAACCCCGGGAGGGGAGUGAAAUAGCACCUGAAACCGUGUGCCUACAAGAAGUUCGAGCCCGUCAAUGGGUGAGAGCGUGCCUUUUGUAGAAUGAACCGGCGAGUUACGUUAUGAUGCGAGGUUAAGCUGAAGAGGCGGAGCCGUAGCGAAAGCGAGUCUGAAUAGGGCGCUUUAGUAUCAUGAUGUAGACCCGAAACCUAGUGACCUAUCCAUGAGCAGGUUGAAGGUGCGGUAAGACGCACUGGAGGACCGAACCAGGACACGUUGAAAAGUGUUUGGAUGACUUGUGGAUAGCGGAGAAAUUCCAAACGAACUGGGAGAUAGCUGGUUCUCUCCGAAAUAGCUUUAGGGCUAGCGUCGCAAUUUAAGUGUAUUGGAGGUAGAGCACUGUUUGGAUGAGGGGCCCAUCUCGGGUUACCAAUUUCAGAUAAACUCCGAAUGCUAAUACACAUGUGCGGCAGUCAGACUGCGAGUGCUAAGAUCCGUAGUCGAAAGGGAAACAGCCCAGACCACCAGCUAAGGUCCCAAAAUAUAUGUUAAGUGGAAAAGGAUGUGGGGUUGCACAGACAACUAGGAUGUUAGCUCAGAAGCAGCUAUCAUUCAAAGAGUGCGUAAUAGCUCACUAGUCGAGUGACCCUGCGCCGAAAAUGUACCGGGGCUAAACAUAUUACCGAAGCUGUGGAUUUAAUAUUAAUUAAAUGGUAGGAGAGCGUUGUAAUCAGCGAUGAAGGUAUACCGUGAGGGGUGCUGGAGCGAUUACAAGUGAGAAUGCCGGUAUGAGUAGCGCAAGAUAAGUGAGAAUCUUAUCCACCGUAAGACUAAGGUUUCCAGGGGAAGGCUCGUCCGCCCUGGGUUAGUCGGGACCUAAGGCGAGGCCGAAAGGCGUAGUCGAUGGACAACAGGUUGAUAUUCCUGUACUAGUAUUGUUAGUGAUGGAGGGACGCAGUAGGCUAAAGGGAGCCAGUUAAUGGAUUCUGGUCUAAGCAGUGAGGUGUGGAAUGUGUCAAAUGCAUUUUCCUUUAACAUUGAGCUGUGAUGGGGAAGCAACUACGGUUGCGAAGCCCUUGAUGUCACACUGCCAAGAAAAUCUUCUAGCGUUUAAUUCAAUACUACCCGUACCGCAAACCGACACAGGUAGUCGAGGCGAGUAGCCUCAGGUGAUCGAGAGAACUCUCGUUAAGGAACUCGGCAAAAUGACCCCGUAACUUCGGGAGAAGGGGUGCUGUAGAAAUACAGCCGCAGUGAAAAGAUCCGAGCAACUGUUUAUCAAAAACACAGCUCUCUGCUAAACCGCAAGGUGAUGUAUAGGGGGUGACGCCUGCCCGGUGCUGGAAGGUUAAGAGGAGGGGUUAGACAUUAGUCGAAGCUCUGAAUUGAAGCCCCAGUAAACGGCGGCCGUAACUAUAACGGUCCUAAGGUAGCGAAAUUCCUUGUCGGGUAAGUUCCGACCCGCACGAAAGGCGUAAUGAUUUGGAUACUGUCUCAACGAGAGACUCGGUGAAAUUUUAGUACCUGUGAAGAUGCAGGUUACCCGCGACAGGACGGAAAGACCCCAUGGAGCUUUACUGCAGAUUGAUAUUGAGUACCUGUGAAGCAUGUACAGGAUAGGUAGGAGACUUUGACCUUGGGACGCUAGUUUCAAGUGAGUCGCUGUUGGGAUACUACCCUUGCUUCAUGGUUGCUCUAACCCACACGCAUAAUCGGCGUGGGAGACAGUGUCUGUCGGGCAGUUUGACUGGGGCGGUCGCCUCCUAAAGAGUAACGGAGGCGCCCAAAGGUUCCCUCAACAUGGUUGGAAAUCAUGUGUAGAGUGUAAAGGUAUAAGGGAGCUUGACUGCGAGAGCUACAACUCGAGCAGGUAGGAAACUAGGGCUUAGUGAUCCGGUGGUACCGCAUGGAAGGGCCAUCGCUCAACGGAUAAAAGCUACCCUGGGGAUAACAGGCUUAUCUCCCCCAAGAGUUCACAUCGACGGGGAGGUUUGGCACCUCGAUGUCGGCUCGUCGCAUCCUGGGGCUGUAGUCGGUCCCAAGGGUUGGGCUGUUCGCCCAUUAAAGCGGCACGCGAGCUGGGUUCAGAACGUCGUGAGACAGUUCGGUCCCUAUCCGUCGCGGGCGUAGGAAAUUUGAGAGGAUCUGCCCUUAGUACGAGAGGACCGGGGUGGACUUACCUCUGGUGUACCAGUUGUUCCGCCAGGAGCACCGCUGGGUAGCUAUGUAGGGAAGGGAUAAGCGCUGAAAGCAUCUAAGUGCGAAGCCCACCUCAAGAUGAGAUUUCCCAUUCUUUAUGAAUUAAGAGCCCUGAGAGAUGAUCAGGUUGAUAGGCUGGAAGUGGAAGUCCUGCGAGGGAUGGAGCGGACCAGUACUAAUAGCUCGAGGACUUUACCAA
Ribosomal RNA from Lactococcus garvieae Lg2, 2902 nucleotides. It matches the Rfam family "Bacterial large subunit ribosomal RNA". NCBI's taxonomy places the organism in Bacteria, Bacillati, Bacillota, Bacilli, Lactobacillales, Streptococcaceae. The record is from Rfam.